GCAUUGGUGGUAUAGUGGUGAGCAUAGCUGCCUUCCAAGCAGUUGACCCCAGUUCGAUUCCUGGCCAAUUCA
RNAcentral lists this transfer RNA (72 nucleotides) under Loxodonta africana (African savanna elephant). It matches the Rfam family "tRNA". Rfam says of the family: Transfer RNA (tRNA) molecules are approximately 80 nucleotides in length. Their secondary structure includes four short double-helical elements and three loops (D, anti-codon, and T loops). Lineage: Eukaryota; Metazoa; Chordata; Mammalia; Proboscidea; Elephantidae. The record is from Rfam by way of RNAcentral.